CUCCUGUAGCCCCCCACCCCCUGACAGGCCCCGGUGUGUGAUGUUCCCCUCUUUCUGCCCAUGUGUUCUCAUUGUUCAACUCCCACUUAUGAGUGAGAACAUGUGGUGUUUGGUUUUAUGUUCCUGUGUUAGUUUGCUGAGAAUGAUGGUUUCCAGAUUCAUCCAUGUCCCUGCAAAGGACAUGAACUCAUUCUUUUUUAUGGCUGCGUAGUAUUCCAUGGUGCAUAUGUGCCACAUUUUCUUUAUCCAGUCUAUCAUUGAUGGGCAUUUGGGUUGGUUCCAAGUCUUUGCUAUUGUGAAUAUUGCUGCAAUAAACAUACGUGUGCAUGUGUCUUUAUAGUAGAAUGAUUUAUAAUCCUUUGGGUAUACACCCAGCAAUGGGAUGGCUGGGUCAAAUGGUAUUUCUGGUUCUAGAUCCUUGAGGAAUAAUCAAAACCACAAUUAGAUACCAUCUCACGCCAGUUAAAUUAGUCCUCUUUAUAUUUUAAGAAAACAUUUGUUUUGCCCUGUGAGUGUUGUUGGAUUGCACAUAUUCAGAUUAUCAUGAGAUAUUCCCAUCUGCUGUAGUAAACGUGGAAAUUUUGAAGGUGUCUGACAAUAGUUUUGGUCCUGGAGUACUAAAAGUAUCCAGAUAGAGUUCAUGUUUUCCAUAGUGAUAAAUGCAACCAAAGCUAUUAGCAAGUUGUACUGCUAGAACAUGUUACGUGUUUUUUACACAUAUGUCAUAAUAUGUUUUUCAGAUUCCUGGAAGAAAUCCCAAUGAACAGGGGUCAUUAUCAGGCCACAUUUCUGGUAUCUGUGGUAAGUAAUGAUGUUCACUUUAACCCCAUCACAGACCAUUUGAUCUUCAUAUAUCUAGGUAAGUGAUGUCUGUUUACGUGAACUGUUUAUCAUGUGCUUUUAUAACAGUGAUUUUUGUAAGUAAUGACAGUAUUUCUAGUUCUAGUGACCAUGUUAUAUUGUUUUUAAUUUAGAGAAAACUUAUGGUUUACGCUGUGAGUAUCAAAUGAUUUGCGUGUACACAGAUAACAACGUGGUGUGCUUCAUAGUAGUAACUGUGGUAUCCUUGCAGAUAGGUAGUCAAGAAAAAAUGGUGUGUCCUUCAAGGUUGUAGACCUUGGGAAUACUGCAAAAUUCCAUGUAGAUUUAUGUCUUCUGCAAUGAUGACAGCCAACAAGUUAUUUGCAGGGUUCUGGUGGAAGAGUUGUGUCCACAGACACAUUUGUCAUAAUGUGGUUUCAGGUUCCUCUCAAGGGGUCAUGGGAAACCUCAUCAUGAUCAACAAUGGGACAUUGCUGGUAUCCAAGCCAAUUAUGAUGUGGGCCUUAAACACCCUACAAAAAUGUGAUCUACAGAAAUGUAGGUAACUGUAGAUGGUUUUCCUAAUUUUUGUGUUGCCAUAUUUUGUGCAGGUAUUUAGUUAAGGAAUUAUAUUUUCCCAACCAACGCAGGUAAGCAUCAGUCAUUAUUUUAGAGUUUAGUUAUAAUGUGUUUAGUCUUAUAGUGAGGGAGGGAUAUGCAGGUAUCCAGGUAAGUUUUCCUACUGUUUCCCACCACGUUAUUGACCAUGAGACUUCAACAUCAUCAAGAGAUGAUGGUGCCACUACAUUGUUGACAUUGAAGUCAUGGCAAAUCCAAGUAGUGUUGAAGGUUCCCUGCUGAUGGAAGUGCCCAGAAUUAUUUGUGUCUUGUCUUUUUUUAUGUAAAACAAAUUGUUUCCUUAAACACACUUGAGCAAUGUGUUUUUUAGUUUUCUGUAAUGAGCUCACAAUCAAGCUUAACAAUAGUCAUUAAUGGAACCGUGCUGUAACCUGCUAAUUGAGAAAGUGUGUUUCCCACAAUCAGACCAUUAGAUCUUUAUAUUUCCAUGUAAGUGAGGAUGGUGUCCUUAACACUUGUCUACCAUGUAUUCCUGCAGGUAUCCUGUUAAGUUCUUUCCUAGUAUACAGGUAGAAGAUUAUGUGAUAUUAACACAUUAGCAACCUUCCUAUUUUCAGAUAUGUAGGUGAUUAAUGAUUUUUUUGAGACUCUUCUUGUAACCUUGUGUUUGUCAUGCAUGCAGUUAAGAAAUUACUUUUUCCCUAACAUUACUAGUAAGAGUGAGAUUUUACUGUGUUCUUGUUUAGACAUAAUGUGUAUUUAUCAAUUGUAGUGAUAUAUGGAUAUGCGAGUAUCCAGGUAAUUUAUCAUAUUGUCCAUCACUGUAAUGCUGAGAUUUUUGUAGGUAUCACUUCAAGAGAGGAAAGUUUCUCUUACGAGUGUUUUCCCUUGGCAUUAUGCAAGCAUCCAGUUACCUUUGAUAGGCCCUGAAAUGAUGAAAGAGACGAAGGGAAUUUGCAGGUGUACAGGUAGAAUGAGACAUUUAGGAAACACAUUUUCAACAGUAUAUUUUUUAGGUUCAUUUGAAGAGGUCACAGUGAGCCUAUCAGUAAUAGUUAACAGGGGUCAUUGCUCGUAUGGAUGUGCAUGAUAAUGUGGGCCUAAAACACAGCCCAGCCCAUCUGAUCUUCCCUUAUAUAGGUAAGUGGUGGUGUCCCUAACACUUCUGUUACUAUGAUUUUGUUGUAGCUGUUCAAGUAAGAAAUGAUAGAGCUCUUACCAAUUUAAAAAAACAUUAUUUUUCUCACUUUUUAUAUUUUAGAAUAACUUUAUGAUUAACCUCUGAGUUUUGAGUGAUAGUGCCUAUCCUGGUUAUUGGUGUUUCUUACCACAGCAGUAACCAGGGGAUUUUUACAGGUGUCCUGUCAAGAAAUGACCGUCUUACCUGACAGUGGUAUUGAUCUUGCAUUAUUACAAGUAUCCAGGUAGAGUUUAUGUGUUCUGUAAUGAUGGAGUGACGAAGGUUAUUUUCAGAUGUCUUGGUGGAAAUGUUUGUGUCCUUUAACACAUAUUUCACAAUGUGUAUUUCAGGUUUCUGUAGUGAGACCCUGAUAAACCUAACAAUGGUUGGUAUGGCAGACAUUUCUGGUAUGCAGGCAAGUGAUGAUGUGUUCUUUAACCACAUCAUAGACCAUCAGAUCUUCUUAUAUCUUUUUUUUUUUUUUUUUUGACAGAGUCUCGCUUUGUCACCCAGGCUGGAGUGCAGUGGGGUGAUCUCGGCUCACUGCAGCCUCCACCUCCCAGGUUCAAGCGAUUCUCGUGCCUCUGCAUCCUGAAUAGCUGGGAUUACAGGUGUGCACCACCACAUCCUGCUGAUUUUUGUAUUUUGAGAGAUGGGGUUUUGGCACGUUGGCCAAGCUGGUCUCGAACUCCUGGCUUCAAGCAGUCCACCCACCUUGGCCUCCCAAAGUGCUGGAAUUACAGGCGUGCACCACCACGCCCGGCCAGAUCUUCAUAUAUCUAAGAUCCUGUCAAGAAGACAUGGUAAACCUCAUCAUGAUCAAGAAUGAGACUUUGCUUGCAUCCAGGCAUUCAGUUAAGAAAUGAUGUUUUCCCAACCAAGGCUAGCUUCCCAAAAGUUGUUUGAUAGUAUACAGGCAUGAGAUGGUGUGACUCUAACUCAUUAGAUGCCUUCGUCUUUUCAGUCAUCAUGUGAUGGAAAGAAAGCUAUCAACUUCAUUCCUGAGACUUCCUGCAACACAGCUUAGUAUGUCUAGCAUGGGCAUGCCUGCUGAAGUUUGGAACUUCCCAUCAAGGAAACAGGAAAAUGCCAUUGGCAAUGAGCUGAAGACUGAUUUACUCUACCAGUUUGGAACAUCUGUUAUUGCUGCUACUACGGUUUCUAUCACUGUUUGAUGCUGGGACUCUUAAGCUCCAACCACGUUUUCACCGAGCUGAGUCGCCUUCUUAUCACCCCUUUCUGGAGCAGCAGGACAUCUGGGGAUGAGAAGAUGGAGAGAUCAUCCUUAUAUAAUGUUGCAGUCUGGAAGCAUCACUCUCAAAAAGCCAUUGUAGAGAAUCCAAGCCGAGUUUAAGAGUGCUGUGGAAAUACACUGCUGCUACUGCUGUUUCUAUUACUGUUUGAUGCUGGGACUCUUAUGCUCCAACCACGUUUUCACCCAGCUGAGUCGCCUUCGUAUCACGCCUUUCCAGUUUUGAUAGACUAGAAAAAUGACAAGACUCCAAGUCCUUGAAGAGGAGGAAAAGUGUGAAGAAAACAAAAAAGGGAGAUUUAUGUCUGCUUCACCAUUUUGCCCAAGACUUGACCUGUCAUACACUGAAGCUCAGAGAGGAAGAAAGGACCGUGUGAGAGAAGAAGGGAACAGCCUUUCAUCCAUAGGAGAAGUUCGUCUAUGACAAAGCCACUAGCUCCAUGUGGCCGCUGAGCACUCAAAAUGUGGCCAGUCUGAAUUGAGAUAUGUUGUUAGUAUAAAGUCCACAUCGGCUUUUUGAGCACUUUGUAUGAGAAAAAAGAAUACCAAAUAUCUCCUUAAUAAUUGUUACAUUGAUUAUAUGUUGAACUGAUAACAUUAUGGAUAUAUUGGAUUAAAUAAAAUAAAUUAUUAAAAUCAAAUAAAAAAUAAAAUCAAUUUCACCUGUUU
This 4481-nucleotide long non-coding RNA is filed under the name Homo sapiens (human). RNAcentral's name for it is "HSALNT0280336". The record is from RNAcentral. Lineage: Eukaryota; Metazoa; Chordata; Mammalia; Primates; Hominidae.